Molecule: long non-coding RNA, 848 nt
Filed under: Homo sapiens (human)
Lineage: Eukaryota; Metazoa; Chordata; Mammalia; Primates; Hominidae
Description: HSALNT0397658
Source: RNAcentral
CUGGAGGACCACCGGCUAAUGAGAGCGAAGCAAAGUCAGUUGGGCCCAUCCCCAAUGUGGAAUCUGGACCUUUGAGAUCGCAGGAAAGUUUGGAGGACCCUCCUGUGCCACCGCAGAGCCCGCGCCGGAAGUUUAAAAAGACGCUAAAGAAGACCGGAGACGCCCGGGAGGAAGCGCCUGACCCGGCUUCCUGGAGGAGGACAGCUGAAGACAUUUAAAGAUGAGAGCUGUUCAGGGUGGGAGCCAAGGCCCAGAGACUAGUGCAACUCAGAGGAGCACGUCCGUGGGCUUGGUCCCUGUCCUUUCUUGGGCCACAGCUGACCCUUUUUUUUUUCCCGUAGCCCUCACAAGUGUUUUAUUCUGAGUAUUUUCAAACAUGCACAUUAAGGGGAAUAGUAUAACGCACUCUUAAGUACAUCUCAAACGCUACCAAUAUUCAACACUUCUGGAUUUCACUUGAUCUAUACUUCUUUGUCACGCGCGUCCGUGUGAAGAGACCACCAAGCAGGCUUUGUGUGAGCAACAAGGCUGUUUAUUUCACCUGGGUGCAGGCGGGCUGAGUCCGAAAAAGGAGUCAGCAAAGGGUGGUGGGAUUAUCAUUAGUUCUUACAGGUUUGGGAUAGGCUUAUAAAGUACAUUCUCAAGGGCGGGGAGAAUGUUACAAAGUACCUUCUUCUUUUUUUUUUUUUUUUUUUUGAGACGGAGUCUCGCUCUGUCGCCCAGGCUGGAUUGCAGUAGUGUGACCUCGGCUCACUGCAACCUCCACCUCCUGGACUCAAGGGAUUCUCCUGCCUCAGCUUCCCUAGUAGCUGGGAUUACAGGUGUGUACUACCACACCCGGCUAAUUU